This is a small nuclear RNA of Neogale vison (American mink), 160 nucleotides long. RefSeq annotates it as U1 spliceosomal RNA. The record is from RefSeq and is a predicted model, not a curated record. The transcript has a single exon. NCBI's taxonomy places the organism in Eukaryota, Metazoa, Chordata, Mammalia, Carnivora, Mustelidae.
GAACUUACUGGAAGGGGAGAUACCAUGAUCAUGAAGGUGAUUUUCCUAGGGUGAGGCUUCUCUAUUACAUUCCAGAUGUGCUGACCCCUGCCAGUUCCCCAAAUGUGGGAAACUUGACUGUGUAAUUUGUGGUAGUGGGGACUGCGUUUGCACUCUCAUC